UGCGCCAGCGAUGGCCGGUUGCGAGGUGCUGCAUGGUUGUCGUCAGCUCGUGCCGUGAGGUGUCGGGUUAAGGUCCCAUAACGAGCGCAACCCCUACCUGCUAGUUGCCAGCGGGUCAUGCCGGGGACGUCUAGCGGAACUGCCAGCGUAAGCUGCGAGGAAGGUGGGGAUGACGUCAAAUCAGCACGGCCCUUACGUCCAGGGCUACACACGUGUUACAAUGGCCAGUACAGAGGGCAGCCACCCCGCGAGGGGGCGCUAAUCCUAAAAGCUGGUCCCAGUUCGGAUCGGAGUCUGCAACCCGACUCCGUGAAGCUGGAUUCGCUAGUAAUCGCGCAUCAGCCACGGCGCGGUGAAUACGUUCCCGGGCCUU
This 373-nucleotide ribosomal RNA is filed under the name uncultured Rikenellaceae bacterium. RNAcentral's name for it is "bacterial SSU rRNA". It matches the Rfam family "Bacterial small subunit ribosomal RNA", at positions 1012 to 1382 of the family's 1533-position model. Lineage: Bacteria; Pseudomonadati; Bacteroidota; Bacteroidia; Bacteroidales; Rikenellaceae. The record is from RNAcentral.